AGUAGAGGAAGAUGCAGAAUCCUCUUCUCAUUUGGAGAGUAUCUCUGAGAGUCGACCACAGAGGUAUGUGGAUAUUUCAUCUGGAGCUGCAGGUCAAAUGGGGGAAAAUAUAUUAAGUGGACAAAUAGAAGGUGUGUCUUAUAUAUCUUCUUGCACGAGAGGAUCAA
Molecule: non-coding RNA, 167 nt
Organism: Vicugna pacos (alpaca)
Lineage: Eukaryota; Metazoa; Chordata; Mammalia; Artiodactyla; Camelidae
Source: RefSeq, a predicted model, not a curated record